UUAAUUCUAGGUUUAAUUCAGACACAGACGAUAUAUUGCAUAAAUACGACGCCAUAGCGCCGAAGCACACUCUACCUCCACGGUUUUGAAGGGUCGAAGGCCACAGGUGGCCAUUCAUUAAUGAUCCCUCCGCAGGUUCACCUACGGAGA
RNAcentral lists this unclassified non-coding RNA (150 nucleotides) under uncultured fungus. RNAcentral's name for it is "sequence contains ITS1". The record is from RNAcentral. Lineage: Eukaryota; Fungi.